Molecule: long non-coding RNA, 587 nt
Organism: Numida meleagris (helmeted guineafowl)
Lineage: Eukaryota; Metazoa; Chordata; Aves; Galliformes; Numididae
Source: Ensembl
UCAAUGCAGAGUAUCCUAUGAUUUUCCGUAGCUCUAUCUGGUAUUCAAAUCAAGUGUUUUUAGCCGUUCAGUUCUUUGCACUGAUGUAAGAAUUUGAGCUCAGAUCCUCAAAGAUAUUUAGUCAUCUAGCUCUUGCUGAUUUCAGUGGGAGUUAGCUGGCCAAGUGUCUGUGACUUUUAGUACCCUCAGAUUUGCCUCAUUUAAAGUCUAAGUUUGAAUCCUUCAGUAUUACAAAAUGUGUCUUUGCAGUAGCCUCACAGCUAUUCUUAAAGAAUCUCAUAAUGUCCUGCCUCAAAGAUAGUAAUAAUACCUCCUAAUUAACAACUAACAUCAUGCAGGUGUCUAAAGACUUCCAAAAAAUGUACUCAACUAGUGUCUGAACCUUGCUCUCUGUCAUGGCGUCACAUCAGCCCUCUCAUGAGAUAGAUCACACCUCUGUUGUCUCUGUGAGAUAUCCUGAGGAGCGGAUUCAGCAUGGAAGCACGGACCUUUGUUGGGAUCGAGCUGAACAAGUACGGACUUCCCAGCUCUGCUUAGCAGAAAAAGAAGAAAAAGAAGGCAAGCGGUCUGUCUCUCAAACCAAGUAA